This is a non-coding RNA of Echinops telfairi (small Madagascar hedgehog), 480 nucleotides long. Lineage: Eukaryota; Metazoa; Chordata; Mammalia; Afrosoricida; Tenrecidae. The record is from the annotation of a RefSeq genome assembly.
AUGGGCUCUGCCACCCUAGCUCUCCUCCUUGUCCUUCUUCCAGGUGUCUGUGCUCAGGUGCAGCUGGUGCAGUCUGGGGCAGAGGUGAAGAGACCUGGGGAGUCUUUGAGGAUCUCCUGUAAGACAUCUGGGUACAGCUUUACUAAGAACUGGAUCCACUGGAUUAAGCAGAUCCCUGGAAAGGGCUUGGAAUGGAUAGGAAUGUUUUAUCCCGGUGACUCUGAUCCCAGGUACAACCCAUCCUUCCAAGGAAAAGUCACUAUCUCCAAAGACAACUCCAUCAGCACCGUGUACCUGCAGUGGAGCAGCCUGAAGGACUCAGACAUGGCCAUGUAUUACUGUGCAAGAGACACAGUGAGAGAAACCCUUCCUGAGAGGGGCAAAAUCCCUCAGCCUGAUGCAGCUGCAGAGCAGGAGUCUCAGAGGCACCUCUCAGUUCAGCACCAGAGGACACAGUGUCUGCUGUCUCCUAGAGAGUGA